This 254-nucleotide ribosomal RNA is filed under the name uncultured bacterium. Its description in RNAcentral is "partial small subunit ribosomal RNA". It matches the Rfam family "Bacterial small subunit ribosomal RNA", at positions 26 to 285 of the family's 1533-position model. The record is from RNAcentral.
AGGACGAACGCUGGCGGCGUGCUUAACACAUGCAAGUCGAGCGGAAAGGCCCUUCGGGGUACUCGAGCGGCGAACGGGUGAGUAACACGUGAGCAACCUGCCCCUGGCUCUGGGAUAGCCUCCGGAAACGGGGAUUAAUACCGGACAUUCACUGAUCCCUGCAUGGGGGAUGGUGGAAAGUUUUUCGGCCAGGGAGGGGCUCGCGGCCUAUCAGCUUGUUGGCGGGUAACGGCCCACCAAGGCGACGACGGGUA